UACGGAGGAUGCAAGCGUUAUCCGGAAUGAUUGGGCGUAAAGCGUCCGCAGGUGGCUAUGUAAGUCUGCUGUUAAAGAGUCUGGCUCAACCAGAUAAAGGCAGUGGAAACUACAUGGCUAGAGUGCGUUCGGGGCAGAGGGAAUUCCUGGUGUAGCGGUGAAAUGCGUAGAGAUCAGGAAGAACACCGGUGGCGAAAGCGCUCUGCUAGGCCGUAACUGACACUGAGGGACGAAAGCUAGGGGAGCGAAUGGG
This 253-nucleotide ribosomal RNA is filed under the name uncultured bacterium. RNAcentral's name for it is "partial 16S ribosomal RNA". It matches the Rfam family "Bacterial small subunit ribosomal RNA", at positions 524 to 776 of the family's 1533-position model. The record is from RNAcentral.